GAUGAACGCUGGCGGCGUGCCUAAUACAUGCCAGUCGAGCGAACGGACGAGAAGCUUGCUUCUCUGAUGUUAGCGGCGGACGGGUGAGUAACACGUGGAUAACCUACCUAUAAGACUGGGAUAACUUCGGGAAACCGGAGCUAAUACCGGAUAAUAUUUUGAACCGCAUGGUUCAAAAGUGAAAGACGGUCUUGCUGUCACUUAUAGAUGGAUCCGCGCUGCAUUAGCUAGUUGGUAAGGUAACGGCUUACCAAGGCAACGAUGCAUAGCCGACCUGAGAGGGUGAUCGGCCACACUGGAACUGAGACACGGUCCAGACUCCUACGGGAGGCAGCAGUAGGGAAUCUUCCGCAAUGGGCGAAAGCCUGACGGAGCAACGCCGCGUGAGUGAUGAAGGUCUUCGGAUCGUAAAACUCUGUUAUGAGGGAAGAACAUAUGUGUAAGUAACUGUGCACAUCUUGACGGUACCUAAUCAGAAAGCCACGGCUAACUACGUG
Molecule: ribosomal RNA, 497 nt
Filed under: uncultured bacterium
Lineage: Bacteria
Description: partial 16S ribosomal RNA
Rfam family: Bacterial small subunit ribosomal RNA
Source: RNAcentral